AGUGGUGCAAUCUCAGCUCACUGCAACCUCCACCUCCUUGGGUUCAAGUGAUUCUCGUGUCUCAGUCUCCCGAGUAGCUGGGAUUACAGGCGUAUGACACCACAGCCAGCUAAUUUUUGUAUUUUUGGUAGAGACGGGGUUUUACCAUGUUGACCAGGAUAUCUCAAACUCCUGAUCUCAAGGGAUCCAUCUGCUGUGGCCUUGCAAAGUGCUGAGAAUACAGGAGAAGCUUCAAAUGAGAGAAAGAGACAACAUCAUGAGCUCAAGAUUCUGCACCAUAUCAAAGGAGAAGACUUGCACCAUUGGGAUGUGGGAUCUUGCUAUAUUGCCCAGUCUGGACUUGAACACCUGGGCUCAAGUGAUCCUCCUGCCUUAGUCUCCUAGAAGCUAGGACUGCAGGAAUGUGCCACCAUGCCUGGCUCUCUAUUCAUUUAAACUGCAUAUUAAUCUUUCACAUAUGCUGUAACUUACUCAUAUGUAAUGACUUAUAUAUAUAAUUACUACUUUCUUCAUUUAGGCUUCUGAUCUAUCUGUUUAUCUUUGCAAAUUAUUAUUUAUUUUGUAUCGUGUUGUUUGAUAUGCAUAUUAUGAUUUCUCAGUAGGCUAUUUAAAAAUAUUUAACAAACAAAUAUUAAUUUAAGUCUGGAUAUGUUUAGUAAAUGAAAUAUCUCUUUCUUGCUUUUCUUACUAAGAUAAAAUAUUUUUUAGUGUUGAAACUAUUUUUACAUCAAUUCUUAUAUUAAAAUAAUCUAGUUUUUAAAAAAUUGUUUUAUUAUAUUACAUAUUCAAACAUAAUCUUUUAUAGUAGCUGUAAACUCUAGAGUAGUCAGAUAUUAGCAAGACAGAAAUGUGACUGAGAGAUGAAAUUAUCUUUUUAAAAUGAUAAGAAGUAAAACACUUAAAGUAAAUGUUUAUUUGCCUAAACAAAUACUAAUCUAUGAAUGCAUUUUAAGCACCUAUAUAUUACAUAAAUGUUAAAUUACUAUAUAUCUUUCAUACUAACUAUAAGUUUCAAACCUUGUUUUCAAAAGAAAUAUUUUUUUCAGGUGUUCUUUUCCUUAAGUUCAUUGUUAGAAUUUCAUUGAGGCUUCAAGGGCACUAAAUUAUCUAGCAAAAAAAAUCUCUUUGGGGAAUCUCAACCUUUGAAGUCAUUGUGAUUUGUAACUUUAUCUUGCUAUUUUUCUCUAUUUGUUUUAUUUGUUUGGUUAAUUUAUAUGGAAAUUACUUUCAUUUGCACUGUUUUCUCUAUUGACAUAAUUUAGCUCAAAUCUCCAAUAGUACAGAAAAAUGAUAACUGAAGAUUCAAGUAUUAAAAUGGCCUGCCCUUUAUCACACAGCUGGUUCAUAUAUGUAUUUACAUUUCUUGGCUGCCAGUGAUCUUUAUUCCCCAGGAUCCUGCUACUUCAAGUAUAAUUUAGAAUUUUAAUUUUGUUAUUAUCAUAAAAUCAUCUUAGUUGUUACAGUUUCUUCCUCCUAAAAUACAAUUUUUAUGAACUUGAAUCCAUAGUAAGUACCUAUGUAAUUGCUAUCUUCUUUCUAGUUAACCUGAUACUCUCUGGAGUUACAGCACAAUGCACAUGACAUCCAUAAACUUCAGUGUUGCAACAAUAGAUGGAGAAAGUGAGCUUUAAUUCAGUUGCAGCAGAAUGGUACAGAAAGGUGGAAUGAUUUGCUUGUAAUUUUAUAAUACAGGAAAUCAUUCUAUAAGCACAUUUUCCCAUUAACACUUAAAAAAAACUAUGUGGUUAUUUAUAGUAAGUGUUUAACAGAAUCCUGCUGUGAGAACAUGAACCAUUGAUAUUAUUUAUAUUAAUUCUGGCUAUUCAUGCUGUCUUAUAAUUAGCUUCUACAUGGUUUUAAGAUUGUUUUCAAUAAUUGAACGGGAAGUUGGAGUUGAUGGAGUCUUGUAUGAUAAUCAAAAGGUUUUAUCUAUAAUCAAAAUUAUAGGAUAAUGACAUCAUUGAGAUAGUGAUAAAUAUAUCACAAUUAAAAAUACAUAAUGAUAAUUCUCAUUAGAAAACAAAUGUGCCCACUAAGAUUUUUGAGAGAUUACUUUAUCUCCAUUAAAAUAACCUGGCAUUUGAGUAGGAAUGAUUUUGUUUAUUGUGGGGAUUUAAAUGAUAAAAUAGUCACUUGGGUUUUUGUUAUUUACAAUGUUAAUAACUGUUAACAGUAUAAACAAUUUAAUAAAUCUCAGAAUCCACAAUGAAUUGAAUGAUCAAUUACGUCUAUUAUCACUUAAUCAAGUCUGGUUUUUUGAAUUAUAGUUAUUAACAUGUAAGUGCUUUCAAGUUCUUUAACGGAUUUGUUAUUUUCAGAGGUAUUAAAAUUCUUAG
This 2336-nucleotide long non-coding RNA is filed under the name Homo sapiens (human). Its description in RNAcentral is "HSALNT0085658". The record is from RNAcentral. Lineage: Eukaryota; Metazoa; Chordata; Mammalia; Primates; Hominidae.